GAUCCUGUCUCACGAUGAACGCUAGCGGUAGGCUUAACACAUGCAAGUCGAGGGGCAGCGCACAGUAACUCUACUCUGGCGGCGACCGGCGGAAGGGUGCGUGACACGUGAGCGACUUGCCCGUCACACGGACAUAACCGCUGGAAACGGCGACUAAUAUCCCAUAUGAUGGCGAUCUGCCUGGAUUGUCAUUGAGAGAUUCAUCGGUGACGGAUAGGCUCUCGGGGCAUUACCUAUACGGUGGGGCAACGGCCCACCGUGGCGACCAUGCCUACGGGUUCUGAUAGGAAGACCCCCCACGCUGGGACUGAGACACGGCCCAGACUCCUACGGGAGGCACCUAUGAGGAAUAUUGGUCAAUGGGCGGAAGCCUGAACCAACCAUGCCGCGUGAAGGACUAAGGCCCUAUGGGUCGUAUACUUCUUUAUACGCAGAGCAAUAAGGGUCUCACGAGAUCCGAUCAGAGUAUGCGUACAAUAAGCAUCGGCUAACUCCGUGCCAGCAGCCGCGGUAAUACGGGGGAUGCUAGCGUUAUCCGGAUUGAUUGGGUAUAAAGGGUGCGUAAGCGGAACUGCAAUUCACCGGUGAAAUCCCCGCGCUCAACGCGGGAGUUGCCGGUGAUACUGUACAUCUGGAAUGCUCUUGCCGUGGGAGGCAUGAGUAGUGUAGCGGUGAAUGCAUAGAUAUACUCAGCACGCCGAUGCGAAGGCAUCUCACGAAGGGGCGAUUGACGCUGAGGCACGAAAGCGUGGGUAUCGAACAGGAUUAGAUACACUGGUAGUCCACGCAGUAUACGAUGAUGGCUAACUGUCGGGUUUUAGGAUUCGGCGGCCAAGCGAAAGCGAUAAGCCAUCCACGUGGGGAGUAUGACCGCAAGGUUAAACUCAAAGGAAUUGAGCGGGGGCCCGCACAAGCGGAGGAACAUGUGGUAUAAUUCGAUGAUACGCGAGCAACCUUACACAGGGUCGUACGGCAUAUGAAUCAUCCAGAGAUGGAUGAGUUUUCGGACAGAUGUCGAGGUGCUGCAUGGUUGUCGUCAGCUCGUGCCGUGAGAUGUCGGCUUAAGUGCCAUAACGAGCGCAACCCUUACCGCUAGUUACCAUCAAGUGAAGUUGGGGACUCUAGGCGGGACUGCCACCGACAAGGUGUGAGGAAGGGGGGGAUGACGUCAAAUCAGCACGGCCCUUACGUCUGGGGCGACACACGUGUUACAAUGGCGGUUACAGAGGGGAGCCACCCCGCGAGGGGGCGCUGAACUCAAAAGACCGUUUCCGUUCGGACUGGAGUUUGCAACCUGACUCCACGAAGCUGGAUUCGGUAGUAAUCGCGCAUCAGCCAUGGCGCGGUGAAUACGUUCCCGGGCCUUGUACACACCGCCCGUC
RNAcentral lists this ribosomal RNA (1382 nucleotides) under uncultured bacterium. RNAcentral's name for it is "16S ribosomal RNA". It matches the Rfam family "Bacterial small subunit ribosomal RNA". The record is from RNAcentral.